Molecule: ribosomal RNA, 470 nt
Filed under: uncultured bacterium
Lineage: Bacteria
Description: SSU rRNA
Rfam family: Bacterial small subunit ribosomal RNA
Source: RNAcentral
AGGAUGAACGCUGGCGGCGUGCCUAACACAUGCAAGUCGAACGUCCUGUCUCGCAAGAGGCAGGGAGUGGCGGACGGGUGAGUACCACGUGGGUCAUCUACCGUGAGGUGAGGAAUACCGGCGAGAAAUCGCCGACAAGACCGCAUAGGCUCGAUGCAAGUCGAGCAAAGCUCUUUCGAGAGAGGGAGCGCCACACGAGGAGCCUGCGCCCGAUUAGCUAGCUGGUGGAGUAACGGUUCACCAGGGCGACGAUCGGUAGCUGGUCUGAGAGGACGAUCAGCCACACUGGGAUUGAGAACGGCCCAGACUCCUACGGGGGGCAGCAGUGAGGAAUUUUCGUCAAUGGGGGCAACCCUGAACGAGCAACGCCGCGUGCAGGAAGAAGGUUUCGGAUCGUAAACUGCUUUUCUCGGGAAGAGAACGGACGGUACCCGAGGAAUCAGCCCGGCUAACUACGUGCCAGCAGCCGC